Molecule: non-coding RNA, 128 nt
Organism: Podospora didyma
Lineage: Eukaryota; Fungi; Ascomycota; Sordariomycetes; Sordariales; Podosporaceae
Source: the annotation of a GenBank genome assembly
GGCUCAAUGGUCUAGUGGUAUGAUUCGUGCUUCGGGUGAUUCUUCUUUCCUCGGAAGAUUCCCAUUGCUUGCAACCAACAAGCAACAAGAUUUGUGCGAGGUCUCGGGUUCGAAUCCCGAUUGAGCCC